Molecule: ribosomal RNA, 497 nt
Filed under: uncultured bacterium
Lineage: Bacteria
Description: partial 16S ribosomal RNA
Rfam family: Bacterial small subunit ribosomal RNA
Source: RNAcentral
GAUGAACGCUGGCGGCGUGCCUAAUACAUGCAAGUCGAGCGAACGGACGAGAAGCUUGCUUUUCUGAUGUUAGCGGCGGACGGGUGAGUAACACGUGGAUAACCUACCUAUAAGACUGGGAUAACUUCGGGAAACCGGCGCUAAUACCGGAUAAUAUUUUGAACCGCAUGGUUCAAAAGUGAAAGACGGUCUUGUUGUCACUUAUAGAUGGAUCCGCGCUGCAUUAGCUAGUUGGUAAGGUAACGGCUUACCAAGGCAACGAUGCAUAGCCGACCUGAGAGGGUGAUAGGCCACACUGGAAGUGAGACACGGUCCAGACGCCUGAGGGAGGCAGCAGUAGGGAAUCUUCCGCAAAGGGCGAAAGCCUGACGGAGCAACGCCGCGUGAGUGAUGAAGGUCUUCGGAUCGUAAAACUCUGUUAUUAGGGAAGAACAUAUGUGUAAGUAACUGUGCACAUCUUGACGGUACCUAAUCAGAAAGCCACGGCUAACUACGUG